CUCAUGAUGCAUACAAGCUUCUUGCAGUUCCUUCACCUAUUGGUGGAGUUCUUGUAAUUGGUGCGAAUACAAUUCAUUAUCAUAGCCAGUCUGCUUCAUGUCACUUGGGGUUGAACAAUUUUGCUGUUCCCGCAGAUGGAAGUCAAGAGAUGCCUAGGUCUGGAUUUACUACGGAGCUUG
This is a long non-coding RNA of Salvia splendens (bonfire salvia), 180 nucleotides long. RefSeq lists it as uncharacterized. The record is from RefSeq and is a predicted model, not a curated record. The transcript is spliced from 3 exons. Lineage: Eukaryota; Viridiplantae; Streptophyta; Magnoliopsida; Lamiales; Lamiaceae.